Molecule: long non-coding RNA, 358 nt
Filed under: Schistocerca americana (American grasshopper)
Lineage: Eukaryota; Metazoa; Arthropoda; Insecta; Orthoptera; Acrididae
Description: uncharacterized LOC124553201
Source: RNAcentral
CUGCAGUUUUUGUACAUUUUAAUACAUGGGUGUAAGUGGUUGUACAUCACUAGUGUACCACUUUUGCUGUUAAUCAAAGCCUGUGAACAAAUAGUACAGUAACUUGAAGAAUGAGCAUGUAAUGCGAUGCAGAUUCAUGUUACACUCCAGGACUGCCAUGUGAGAGAGUCUGCUAUACCUGGCCAAUGAGAUGAAGUUGUACCACUUCCAUCAGUCCAGACAUUUGUCAAAGAAGUGCAGUUUAUAAAUGACCAAGUGGAUGAAGCAGCCACACUCUCACCGGUCCAGAUAUUCCUCAAAGAAGAGGAAGGUGUAAGUAUUCAUGAAAUACUGACUGUCAGUUACACACUGAAGUAAU